This 2904-nucleotide ribosomal RNA is filed under the name Escherichia coli. Its description in RNAcentral is "bacterial LSU rRNA". It matches the Rfam family "Bacterial large subunit ribosomal RNA". Lineage: Bacteria; Pseudomonadati; Pseudomonadota; Gammaproteobacteria; Enterobacterales; Enterobacteriaceae. The record is from RNAcentral.
UUAAGCGACUAAGCGUACACGGUGGAUGCCCUGGCAGUCAGAGGCGAUGAAGGACGUGCUAAUCUGCGAUAAGCGUCGGUAAGGUGAUAUGAACCGUUAUAACCGGCGAUUUCCGAAUGGGGAAACCCAGUGUGUUUCGACACACUAUCAUUAACUGAAUCCAUAGGUUAAUGAGGCGAACCGGGGGAACUGAAACAUCUAAGUACCCCGAGGAAAAGAAAUCAACCGAGAUUCCCCCAGUAGCGGCGAGCGAACGGGGAGCAGCCCAGAGCCUGAAUCAGUGUGUGUGUUAGUGGAAGCGUCUGGAAAGGCGCGCGAUACAGGGUGACAGCCCCGUACACAAAAAUGCACAUGCUGUGAGCUCGAUGAGUAGGGCGGGACACGUGGUAUCCUGUCUGAAUAUGGGGGGACCAUCCUCCAAGGCUAAAUACUCCUGACUGACCGAUAGUGAACCAGUACCGUGAGGGAAAGGCGAAAAGAACCCCGGCGAGGGGAGUGAAAAAGAACCUGAAACCGUGUACGUACAAGCAGUGGGAGCACGCUUAGGCGUGUGACUGCGUACCUUUUGUAUAAUGGGUCAGCGACUUAUAUUCUGUAGCAAGGUUAACCGAAUAGGGGAGCCGAAGGGAAACCGAGUCUUAACUGGGCGUUAAGUUGCAGGGUAUAGACCCGAAACCCGGUGAUCUAGCCAUGGGCAGGUUGAAGGUUGGGUAACACUAACUGGAGGACCGAACCGACUAAUGUUGAAAAAUUAGCGGAUGACUUGUGGCUGGGGGUGAAAGGCCAAUCAAACCGGGAGAUAGCUGGUUCUCCCCGAAAGCUAUUUAGGUAGCGCCUCGUGAAUUCAUCUCCGGGGGUAGAGCACUGUUUCGGCAAGGGGGUCAUCCCGACUUACCAACCCGAUGCAAACUGCGAAUACCGGAGAAUGUUAUCACGGGAGACACACGGCGGGUGCUAACGUCCGUCGUGAAGAGGGAAACAACCCAGACCGCCAGCUAAGGUCCCAAAGUCAUGGUUAAGUGGGAAACGAUGUGGGAAGGCCCAGACAGCCAGGAUGUUGGCUUAGAAGCAGCCAUCAUUUAAAGAAAGCGUAAUAGCUCACUGGUCGAGUCGGCCUGCGCGGAAGAUGUAACGGGGCUAAACCAUGCACCGAAGCUGCGGCAGCGACGCUUAUGCGUUGUUGGGUAGGGGAGCGUUCUGUAAGCCUGCGAAGGUGUGCUGUGAGGCAUGCUGGAGGUAUCAGAAGUGCGAAUGCUGACAUAAGUAACGAUAAAGCGGGUGAAAAGCCCGCUCGCCGGAAGACCAAGGGUUCCUGUCCAACGUUAAUCGGGGCAGGGUGAGUCGACCCCUAAGGCGAGGCCGAAAGGCGUAGUCGAUGGGAAACAGGUUAAUAUUCCUGUACUUGGUGUUACUGCGAAGGGGGGACGGAGAAGGCUAUGUUGGCCGGGCGACGGUUGUCCCGGUUUAAGCGUGUAGGCUGGUUUUCCAGGCAAAUCCGGAAAAUCAAGGCUGAGGCGUGAUGACGAGGCACUACGGUGCUGAAGCAACAAAUGCCCUGCUUCUAGGAAAAGCCUCUAAGCAUCAGGUAACAUCAAAUCGUACCCCAAACCGACACAGGUGGUCAGGUAGAGAAUACCAAGGCGCUUGAGAGAACUCGGGUGAAGGAACUAGGCAAAAUGGUGCCGUAACUUCGGGAGAAGGCACGCUGAUAUGUAGGUGAAGUCCCUCGCGGAUGGAGCUGAAAUCAGUCGAAGAUACCAGCUGGCUGCAACUGUUUAUUAAAAACACAGCACUGUGCAAACACGAAAGUGGACGUAUACGGUGUGACGCCUGCCCGGUGCCGGAAGGUUAAUUGAUGGGGUUAGCCGCAAGGCGAAGCUCUUGAUCGAAGCCCCGGUAAACGGCGGCCGUAACUAUAACGGUCCUAAGGUAGCGAAAUUCCUUGUCGGGUAAGUUCCGACCUGCACGAAUGGCGUAAUGAUGGCCAGGCUGUCUCCACCCGAGACUCAGUGAAAUUGAACUCGCUGUGAAGAUGCAGUGUACCCGCGGCAAGACGGAAAGACCCCGUGAACCUUUACUAUAGCUUGACACUGAACAUUGAGCCUUGAUGUGUAGGAUAGGUGGGAGGCUUUGAAGUGUGGACGCCAGUCUGCAUGGAGCCGACCUUGAAAUACCACCCUUUAAUGUUUGAUGUUCUAACGUUGACCCGUAAUCCGGGUUGCGGACAGUGUCUGGUGGGUAGUUUGACUGGGGCGGUCUCCUCCUAAAGAGUAACGGAGGAGCACGAAGGUUGGCUAAUCCUGGUCGGACAUCAGGAGGUUAGUGCAAUGGCAUAAGCCAGCUUGACUGCGAGCGUGACGGCGCGAGCAGGUGCGAAAGCAGGUCAUAGUGAUCCGGUGGUUCUGAAUGGAAGGGCCAUCGCUCAACGGAUAAAAGGUACUCCGGGGAUAACAGGCUGAUACCGCCCAAGAGUUCAUAUCGACGGCGGUGUUUGGCACCUCGAUGUCGGCUCAUCACAUCCUGGGGCUGAAGUAGGUCCCAAGGGUAUGGCUGUUCGCCAUUUAAAGUGGUACGCGAGCUGGGUUUAGAACGUCGUGAGACAGUUCGGUCCCUAUCUGCCGUGGGCGCUGGAGAACUGAGGGGGGCUGCUCCUAGUACGAGAGGACCGGAGUGGACGCAUCACUGGUGUUCGGGUUGUCAUGCCAAUGGCACUGCCCGGUAGCUAAAUGCGGAAGAGAUAAGUGCUGAAAGCAUCUAAGCACGAAACUUGCCCCGAGAUGAGUUCUCCCUGACCCUUUAAGGGUCCUGAAGGAACGUUGAAGACGACGACGUUGAUAGGCCGGGUGUGUAAGCGCAGCGAUGCGUUGAGCUAACCGGUACUAAUGAACCGUGAGGCUUAACCUU